UACGGAGGGUGCGAGCGUUAAUCGGAAUUACUGGGCGUAAAGGGUGCGUAGGUGGUUUAGUAAGUUAUCUGUGAAAUUCCCGGGCUUAACCUGGGGAGGUCAGCUAAGACUGCAAGACUCGAGUAUAGGAGAGGGUAGUGGAAUUUCCGGUGUAGCGGUGAAAUGCGUAGAGAUCGGAAGGAACACCAGUGGCGAAGGCGGCUACCUGGCCUAAUACUGACACUGAGGCACGAAAGCGUGGGGAGCAAACAGGAUUAGAUACCCUGGUAGUCCACGCCGUAAACGAUGUCAACUAGCUGUUGGUUAUAUAAAAGUAAUUAGUGGCGCAGCAAACGCGAUAAGUUGACCGCCUGGGGAGUACGGUCGCAAGAUUAAA
RNAcentral lists this ribosomal RNA (376 nucleotides) under uncultured bacterium. RNAcentral's name for it is "bacterial SSU rRNA". It matches the Rfam family "Bacterial small subunit ribosomal RNA", at positions 524 to 898 of the family's 1533-position model. The record is from RNAcentral.